CACGUAGGGCGCGAGCGUUGUCCGGAAUUAUUGGGCGUAAAGAGCUCGUAGGCGGCCUGUUGCGUCCGCUGUGAAAGCCCGGGGCUUAACCCCGGGUCGGCAGUGGAUACGGGCAGGCUAGAGGUAGGUAGGGGAGAAUGGAAUUCCCGGUGUAGCGGUGAAAUGCGCAGAUAUCGGGAGGAACACCGGUGGCGAAAGCGCUCUACUGGACCGUAACUGACACUCAGGGACGAAAGCUAGGGGAGCGAAUGGG
RNAcentral lists this ribosomal RNA (253 nucleotides) under uncultured bacterium. RNAcentral's name for it is "partial 16S ribosomal RNA". It matches the Rfam family "Bacterial small subunit ribosomal RNA", at positions 524 to 776 of the family's 1533-position model. The record is from RNAcentral.